AAAUUGAAGAGUUUGAUCAUGGCUCAGAUUGAACGCUGGCGGCAGGCCUAACACAUGCAAGUCGAACGGUAACAGGAAACAGCUUGCUGUUUCGCUGACGAGUGGCGGACGGGUGAGUAAUGUCUGGGAAACUGCCUGAUGGAGGGGGAUAACUACUGGAAACGGUAGCUAAUACCGCAUAACGUCGCAAGACCAAAGAGGGGGACCUUCGGGCCUCUUGCCAUCGGAU
This 229-nucleotide ribosomal RNA is filed under the name Escherichia coli. Its description in RNAcentral is "partial 16S ribosomal RNA". It matches the Rfam family "Bacterial small subunit ribosomal RNA", at positions 1 to 226 of the family's 1533-position model. RNAcentral also lists the same sequence under 1 other name. The record is from RNAcentral. Lineage: Bacteria; Pseudomonadati; Pseudomonadota; Gammaproteobacteria; Enterobacterales; Enterobacteriaceae.